CCUACGGGCGGCUGCAGUAGGGAAUAUUGCUCAAUGGGGGAAACCCUGAAGCAGCAACGCCGCGUGGAGGAUGAAGGUUUUCGGAUUGUAAACUCCUUUUGUUAGAGAAGAUAAUGACGGUAUCUAACGAAUAAGCACCGGCUAACUCCGUGCCAGCAGCCGCGGUAAUACGGCGGGUGCAAACGUUACUCGGAAUCACUGGGCGGAAAGAGCGCGUAGGCGGGACAGCAAGUCAGAUGUGAAAUCCUAUGGCUUAACCAUAGAACUGCAUUGGAAACUGUUAUUCUAGAGUAUGGGAGAGGUAGGUGGAAUUCUUGGUGUAGGGGUAAAAUCCGUAGAGAUCAAGAGGAAUACUCAUUGCGAAGGCGACCUGCUAGAACAUAACUGACGCUGAUGCGCGAAAGCGUGGGGAGCAAACAGGAUUAGAUACCCUUGUAGUC
Molecule: ribosomal RNA, 440 nt
Filed under: uncultured bacterium
Lineage: Bacteria
Description: partial 16S ribosomal RNA
Rfam family: Bacterial small subunit ribosomal RNA
Source: RNAcentral